This 269-nucleotide ribosomal RNA is filed under the name uncultured Planctomycetales bacterium. Its description in RNAcentral is "partial 16S ribosomal RNA". It matches the Rfam family "Bacterial small subunit ribosomal RNA", at positions 565 to 832 of the family's 1533-position model. The record is from RNAcentral. Lineage: Bacteria; Pseudomonadati; Planctomycetota; Planctomycetia; Planctomycetales.
GAGCACGUAGGUGGGUUUGUAAGUCAGAUGUGAAAGCCUUCUGUUCAACGGAAGAAUUGCAUCUGAAACUGCGAGUCUUGAGUGUAGGAGGGGAGAAUGGAACUUCUGGUGGAGCGGUGAAAUGCGUAGAUAUCAGAAGGAACGCCGGCGGCGAAAGCGAUUCUCUGGCCUAUCACUGACACUCAGUGUGCGAAAGCUAGGGGAGCAAACGGGAUUAGAUACCCCGGUAGUCCUAGCCGUAAACGAUGGGCACUAAGUAGAGGGGUUUU